Poecilia latipinna (sailfin molly) is the source of this 477-nucleotide long non-coding RNA. RefSeq lists it as uncharacterized. The record is from RefSeq and is a predicted model, not a curated record. Lineage: Eukaryota; Metazoa; Chordata; Actinopteri; Cyprinodontiformes; Poeciliidae. The transcript is spliced from 2 exons.
CUAACUCAUAUCUUGACGAAUCAAUGUCAGAGUGAGGCAGUAUUUCAGGGAAUCGCCGAUCAGUGAGCACGAGUGCCUCUGUGUUGUCCUAUUGGUAGGAUUUCCUGAUAUCAGCCACUGUUGGUGUGGGCAUGAGAGGAAGUAAGCAGCGAUAACCUGAUCGUUUCCGGAACACAGGCCGGUACGGCAGCGUCUAUCCGAAAGGGAAAUCUCGGCCGCUGCUCGACCUACUCUUCCGGCUCCAUAAGCUAGCUUUACAUCAAGCCGCUGCCUGAACCCGGAUCCAGGCGGAAAGAGGGGCCUCUGGCUGCUACGGCUUGGUUUUAAAACUCUCUGUCGGAUUUCUGGAGCGACAUCCUGCUGAGAUGGAGAGCCUUAGGGAAGCGCUGGAGAAGCUGAAGCUGGCGUCUACAGACAAUACCACUGACAGCACGGAGAGCAGCCUGGACUGCCUGCUGAGCGCACUCACCCAAAACA